This 6784-nucleotide long non-coding RNA is filed under the name Cucumis sativus (cucumber). RNAcentral's name for it is "long non-coding RNA (CSAT_LNC000098)". The record is from RNAcentral. Lineage: Eukaryota; Viridiplantae; Streptophyta; Magnoliopsida; Cucurbitales; Cucurbitaceae.
CAGAAAUGGUUUGGUUAACAUUCACCUCUUCUCCUUCUCUCUUCUUGCCUUUUCUAUUCUUCUUCUUCCUAUACAUUUGCCAUCGCAACCGCAUGGCCAUGUCCCAAGAAGACCUCGGAUGGUUUUGCGAUAAUUCAGAAGGAAACUACACCACUAACAGUCCCUACAAACCCAAUCUAAACCACCUCCUUUCCACUUUCACCACCCAUCAAAUCGACUACGGCUUCUACAACCUCUCCUACGGCCAUGACCACAAAGCUUAUGCUAUUGGUCUAUGCAGAGGAGACGUUAUGCCUGACUCUUGCAGAAGUUGCCUCAACAACUCAAUAACACUUCUCACCAAUAACUGUCCCACCCAAACUAAUGCCAUUGUUUGGUACGAAGACUGUACGUUUCGUUACUCCGACCGCUCUCUGUUCGGCACACUGGACGUUUCCCCCACUCGCUUUGUGGUGCUGCCCGUUAUCAGUAAUGUUUCGGACUUUAGGUACACUCAGUUAGCCACUGAUAUGCUUCAACAACUCACUCCUAAAGCUGCAUCCGGUGAUUCCCGUUUGAAGUAUGCCACUAGAAGAGUUGCUGUCCCGAAUUUUCCUGUCCUUUCUGGGGCUGUGCAGUGUACUCCUGAUUUAACUUCCGAUGCUUGCUCCAACUGCCUGCUUGCUUCAAUUGCACAAGUUCGAGAUGCUUAUGAUACGGUCCCAAGAGUUAGGAUUAUGAAACCCAGUUGCAAUAUUCGAUUUGACAUCAACCGCCUCUUUCUGGAUCCACGGGCUUCAUCCCCACCCCCCAGUUUCUCAAACACAACUACUACUACUAAUAAUUCUCCACGAGGCAAUUUUCUUUCCUUUGUUUUCCUUUUCUUUCUGUCUCUGUCUCGUAACGUAUUGGAAAUUACUCUGUAUUUUUUCCAGGAAACAAAGCUCGAAAACUCGUCUUGGUUUUGGUGCCUAUUGUCGUCGUUGUUCUGGCUGCUCUACUACUAAUUAUCACCAUCACCUUAAGGGCAAGGAAUUCAAAUAAAAAAAGUAAAGCUGAAAGUCCAUUUCAUACCCAAUUUUACUUCACUCCAAGCUUCAUUUGUGUGUGUGUUUUAACUUUUUACUUUUGACUCAUUGAUCUGCGUGAAGAUCAUAUUGCAAAUGAAGAAUCUUUGCAGUUCGAUUUUGAUACAAUUAGAACGGCUACAGAUGGAUUCUCUGAGGCAAAUCAACUCGGGCGAGGGGGGUUUGGAGCUGUUUAUAAGGUAAUCUGAGGUUCUAAUGACAAUUUUCAAUACAAUUUGAAGAACCAAUUUAAUUGAUGAAAUUAAUUGACAGGGUCGGCUUCCGGAUGGACAAUAUGUAGCUGUGAAACGACUAUUUCAAAGCUCAAAACAAGGAGAUGAUGAAUUUAAGAACGAAAUCGUGUUGGUGGCUAAGCUUCAGCAUCGGAAUUUAGUUCAACUUUUGGGUUUCUGUAUCAAACAAAAUGAAAAGCUCCUCAUUUACGAGUUUGUGGAGAACUCCAGUCUUGAGAAAUUCCUCUUUGGUAACCCCUUUCUCUCUUUCUCCCACUUCAUUUAUUUACCUAAAUAGUUUUUUUCCCUUAUGAUUCUUUUUGGAAAUUAAAAUUUGUAUAUCUUUCCUAAUUUUGAAUAUAAAAAAAAAAAAAAAAACUAUGGAUGCAGAUUCUAUUAAGCGCGAGAGUUUAGAUUGGAAAACUCGAUACAAUAUCAUACAAGACAUUGUUCGAGGACUUAUAUACCUUCAUGAAGACUCUCAACUUCGAAUCAUUCAUCGAGAUCUUAAAGCCUGUAACAUUUUAUUAGAUGCAGAGAUGAAUGCUAAAAUUUCUGAUUUUGGAACUGCAAAACUAUUUGAACAUGAUCAAACACGAGGAGAUACGAGAAAAAUCAUGGGUACCUAGUAAGUAUUAUGGUAGCAACUAUACCAUGCUCCAUUUUAUGUGGUGAAAGAUCUACUAACUAAACUUUAUUUAAUGCAGUGGAUAUAUGGCUCCUGAGUAUGCGCGGCAUGGUCAAUUUUCAGUCAAAUUAGAUGUAUUUAGCUUUGGUGUUUUAAUUUUGGAGAUUGUGACUGGACAAAAGAAUAACCGAGCUCAAACCAACAAAGAGAUUUCUGAGUCUCUUAUUAGCCAUGUAAGUACAAAAUUCUGCCUUUGUGUUUCCUAUAUUUGGAUAAAUUUUUGUGUCAUAAGAGUAGAUGGAAGUGAAUCCUCAUUCUAAUCGUUGUUCUCGUAGGCAUGGAAAAGUUGGCAAUCAGGAAAUGCACUUGAUAUUGUUGAUCCAUGUUUGAAAAGUGGUUCAAAAGUUGAAAUGGCUAGAUGCAUUCAUGUUGGAUUGUUAUGUGUUCAAGAAAAUCCACUUGAGAGGCCAACAAUGACUACCGUACUUCUCAUGCUUAGCAGUGGUUCUACUACUCUUCCAAAACCCUCUGAACCAGCAUUUUUUAUCAAUAGUAAAUGCUCGCAAAUGCCGGGACAGUUUACAGAUCAUAGUUUAACUCAAGAUGUGAAUGAAUUGUCAAUUACUGAGUUAUAUCCUCGUUAGUGUGAUCUUAAAUUAUGUCGUUUUGUUGUUAUGAAAUAAUAAUACCUUGGACAAGUAAAAGAUGUAAUAGGAUGUUGUAUGAUGAGUGAACCUACAUGUUAUGUUAGUAAAAUGUAAUUAGUAAAUAUGCGAUCUCUUUGUCCAUUGUAAAAGAUUUGAAAUAACAACUUCCUUCCUAAAUUUGGUCUUUGGUGAGAAAGUAAAAGUUUAUUCUUAUCAUUUUAGAACUUGGAAUUGAAUUUGUAUGAUUUUGAUAAAAUUUUCACAAUAGUCCCUACAUUUUGAACUAAUUUAUAAAUAAGUAUUUAUGUUAUAACUUUAAUACUAUUAAUUUAUUAGGAUCAUGAUCAAUUCCCCUCAUUUUUUUGGAGGUAUAUAUUAAGAUCAAAGUAGUAAUAAUGAGUCUAGUUUUGGAUUGUAUGUAAAAUAAUAAGUUGGUGAUAGAAAACAAUGAAAAAGAAAAAGAAAAUCAAAAUAGCUCCCGGAAAAUUAUAAGUUGUUAAUUAAGAAUGAGAUAGGAAAAAUAAUGGCCUAAAUUAAACAAUAAUAUAAACAAAUACUACUUCUCUUUUAGUUAUAUGGAUGAGUAGAAUGAGAAAGUAAAAUGGACAGGUCUUUUAUUUUAAAUUAGUAUAUAUCUUUUUUAUGCCUUUUCAGAUCAAUACUCUAAAAUUUAUAGCAUCUUUUUUGAGAGAGUGUUUUUUUAAUUUAAAAAUUAGUAUUAUUUUAGAUGUUAAAAAUUUAAUAUUUAGACAUAACCACACAACCAAAGGAGUUGAAAAAUAAAAUAUGGUGAAACUAAAUUUAAAUCAAUUAUUUUAGUUACACAUUUUCAAAUUCUUUAACUUAAAAGUGUGAUUUUAGUUAAGUCUCUUUACUUUAAGUUUAGUUAGGAAUCAAAUUGUGAUAAUAUUUAAUUUCCUUUUUAAAAAUUAAUAUUAUAUAUCUAAAUUAUAGAAUAUUUUUAAAUUAUAUUAUUGAAGAUUAUUGAAAGAAGUAGAAGUAAUAAAGAAAAAGAAGAAAAAAGAGAGUUAAGUAAUAUAUAAAAACAUGAUAGCAAUGACUUUAGAGAAUUGAUGUAGAAAAUAUUCAUAUAUAUAUAUAUAUAUAUAUAAUGUUAGGUUUUUAUGAGAUUAAAUAGUUAAUAUAUUGUCUUUUAUUAUUUUAGAAUUUGAAUGUUUGUAACAAAUAUUCAUAAGUCGUCCAUAGUAGAUACGAAAUAUAAAGGUUAUAUAAUAAUAUUUUAAACUAGAAAUUAAAAAAUGUGUAUCUAAAAUCAUUGAUUUGAAUUUAGUUUCACCAUAUUUUAGUUUCAACUCUUUUGGUUUGGAAAUUUUUUAAAAAUAAUAGAUUUUACAAAAUAUUUCCAACCUAUAACAAAUUCUAUUACUGAUAGUCAUUGAUAUGUCAUAGUGAUAGAAGACUAUCAGUAAUGAAUCCAAAAUUUUGCUAUAGCUUGUAAAUAUUUUAGUUUAUUUUGCUAUUUUUAAAAAGGUCCCUUUUACUUUCUCAUUUUAACUAGAAAAAUAAAAGAAAAUAAUAUGGAAGAAAAAUUUACAUUCUACUCAUUUAUAUAACUAAAAAAAAUAACAAAAAGAGAAAUAGUUUCAAAAGAAAUAGAAAAUAAGAGAAAAUAAUUUAAAAAGAUGCAUAUCAAAGAAGAUAUUUGUAUAUAGAUCUCCAAUACCGAAGAAAUAAAUCUUAUCGAUCUUCUUGUAUUUUUCUCUUCUCCUAAUCGAUGAUGUGAUUUUUAUAGAUUCACUAUUUAUCUUUAUCGUCUCGUUUUUCUUGUCUCCUUGCACUUCUCUCUCCACUUCCAAUCAUUUGUUGCUUCGAGGAAGCAAGGGGAUACCAUAUACUUUUAUAUUGAAUAAAUUGGUAGAAAGUGUGAGUUAGAGAAUUUUAAAAGACUUCCUUUAAUUGAUUGGAUACAAAAUUUUCUACUACCCAUAAACUUAAUUAAGGUAAUAAAUAGUAUUCAAUCAAAUAUUAAAGCGGUAGAGAAAUACAGAGGAAGAGUUACCACUAUUCAUGCAUUGAAAUUGAAUGACAAAAUUGUCAUCAAAUAAAUAGUAAGAAUACUUAUAAUCAAAAGGGUAAAAUGGACUAAAAGAAUUUAUCCAUAUAAGAGCUUUUAUAUAUACUAUAGUUUAAUUUUGAAACAUCUUUAUCAUUAAUUAUAAUUAACAAUGAAAUAUUAAUUCUAAAAAAACUAGCAUUACAAAAAACAUAAACUUGUACUCCCAUAGCUUAUGAGAGUUUUUGUAAUCUCCUCCUUGGUUUGAGCUCGUUUAUUCUUUUGUUUCAGUCACAAUUUCAACUAAAACACCAAAACUAAAUACAUCUUAUUUGACUGAAAAAUGACCGUUUUAUACAUGCUCUGGAGCCAUAUAUCCUCUGCAUUCAAUAGUGGUAUUAAACAAAUGGUUGAAUUAUAACUAAUCAAUGAUACUCAAAUUAUAAAUUAUUACAAGUUAAUUAAUUUAUGAAACUAGGGUAGUUAGAUUCAAAUAUUAUAAUUUAGAUUUUAUAUAAUUUUUUUAAAUUAUAAAUUUGGUUUUGAAUCUAAAUUAAUUAAUUUUUUAGAAAAGAAGAUUAAAUCAAUUAAUUUUAGUAAUAUAUAAAAAAAAUGAAUAAAUACAUAAAUUAAAAGCAUAAUUAAAGAAAACCCACACUUAAAUGAUAGAUGAGAAUAACAUAUUCUCACGUUUGAAGCUUCAAAACUUGAAUCAAACAAGGGGAUAUGAUCACAUUUUCGUUUCCAUCUUUAUUUCCAUGCCAUUUUCCUCAAUCCAAACACCUUUUUGAAGGCCAUUUCCUAUCUUAUUGUUUCAUUGAUUGAUGUAAAUAUUAAAUAUCUGGAAUUUUAAAAUGUUGUUGUUAGAUAAUCAAUAGCUAGAACUUAAAAAUUUGUGUAUAAAUAUUCAACAUAAUUUGUAAAAAGUAAAAUAAAAUAAUUACUUAACUUAAUGAUACAAAUCAAUUAAAAAUUUAACCAAAAUUAAUUCAUUGUUAUGUUAAUGAGUUAUUUAGUUGAUAAAGUAAAAGAUAAAAUAUAUAAUACUUUUUAACUGAACAUAAUAACUGUUAAAUUAGUUAAAAUAUUGAUAAUUAACAAUAAUAACACAUAGACAUCGUAUGGUUAAAAGUAUUGAUUGAAAUUUAUUAAUCUAAAUAAUGUAUUUAUAUCUAAUAAUAAAUUAAAAUUAAUAUAUAGUACUAAAUAAUUGAUAUUAAUUUAUAAACAUGGACACGAAUGUUUGUGAGUGAAUAAAUAAUGAAAAUUAAGGUUAAAGAUAUAAAAUAUUGAAUUAUAGAGAGCAAAACUCAAAAUUUAAAGUAAAAUUGAAAGAUUAAAUUAAAACAAAAAUAAAACCAUGAGCGCUAAAUAUAUAUAUCAUUUUAAAAUAUAAGAACUAAAUAGAAAAGGCAAUGACCGAAACUUAUUUUUCUCAAUGUUUAAAACUGGUUGACGAUUGGGUUAAAGGUUGAGGAUAGCUUAUUUUUUCUCUUAUUUAUGAGGGUUUUUCUGAAACAAAUAGAAAUCACAUCAACCAACAAAAAUGAAAGACGGAGAUAUUGACCAUCACUUAUGCAUUCCAAAUUAACUUUGACUUCAACUUCUUUUAUUUUCAUUUUCAUGCUUUUCUUUUCAAACAAAUUAGUAGCUUAGUUAUGGAAAAUAGUAUUCGUUUUAAGUUCAUAUCAUUCCGCCUUUUUCUUUUUCUUUUUCUGCUUGUCAACUAGUGUUGGCCGAAUGCGUGUUUGGAUUUGGAUUUCCAUUUCUAAAAUAAGCACCGCACCCAUCUCACAUACCCACAAACAAUAUUCCGGAGUGCUACCAAGCAGAAAUGGUUUGGUUAACAUUCAACUCUUCCCCUUCCCCUUCCCUCUUCUUGCCUUUUCUAUUCUUCUUCUUCCUAUACAUUUGCCAUCGCAACCGCAUGGCCAUGUCCCAAGAAGACCUCGGAUGGUUUUGCGAUAAUUCAGAAGGAAACUACACCACUAACAGUCCCUACAAACCCAAUCUAAACCACCUCCUUUCCACUUUCACCACCCAUCAAAUCGACUACGGCUUCUACAACCUCUCCUACGGCCAUGACCACAAAGCUUAUGCUAUCGGUCUAUGCAGAGGAGACGUUUCGCCUCAAUCUUGCAAAAGCUGCCUCAACAACUCAAUAACCCUUCUCACCGGUAACUGUCCCACCCAAACUAAUGCCAUUGUUUGGUACG